RNAcentral lists this ribosomal RNA (407 nucleotides) under uncultured bacterium. Its description in RNAcentral is "bacterial SSU rRNA". It matches the Rfam family "Bacterial small subunit ribosomal RNA", at positions 355 to 776 of the family's 1533-position model. The record is from RNAcentral.
UGGGGAAUAUUGGGCAAUGGAGGAAACUCUGACCCAGCAACGCCGCGUGAGUGAUGAAGGUCUUCGGAUUGUAAAACUCUUUAAGUGGGGAAGAAGAAAGUGACGGUACCCACAGAAUAAGCCUCGGCUAACUACGUGCCAGCAGCCGCGGUAAUACGUAGGAGGCAAGCGUUAUCCGGAAUGACUGGGCGUAAAGGGUGCGUAGGUGGUCUGGCAAGUUGGCAGCGUAAUCCCGGAGCUCAACUUCGGUGCUACUGUCAAAACUGUCAGGCUUGAGUGCAGGAGGGGCAUAUGGAAUUCCUAGUGUAGCGGUGGAAUGCGUAGAUAUUAGGAAGAACACCAGUGGCGAAGGCGAUAUGCUGGACUGUAACUGACACUGAGGCACGAAAGCGUGGGGAGCAAACAGG